AUAAAAGUCACUGCACAUCACUGCAACAUAGUAUUUUUUACUUAUAUUUAUAAGUAAAAGAUAAAUAAAAGACUAAUAAAAUAUAAACAAAGUAUAAACAAAAAAUCUUUUAUUAUUGUUGAAUUAUUCCUUUAUCAAUCUGGCUUAGACCUCAAUUCAAAUUAUCGAUCAGUACAUUUAAGUAAAAUCCUAAUAAUCCUAAUUAUUUUACUUGAUUAUUUUAGAUGUACAGCACUUUGGGCAACAGCCCUUGUUUUAAAUGUGCUAUAUGAAUAAAUUUAACUUUGCAUUUGACUCUGUCUGAUUUGUUUUCCGAAUAUCAGUAUUUCAGUCAAUAUUUCUUCUGCAUGCUGUUUACCAAGAGAGAAAGAACUAACAAAUGACAAAGCCAAAAUAAACAGAAAGUAACCUUUUAUAUUGUAACAGUCACAAUUGAUUAAAAUGCAAUAUACAGAUUACAGUAUGAAACCUUGAAAUAUGACACUGACAUCUGAUGAUGAUGACACUUAGAGCAACACCCAGAAGGACGGGCCUCAUUCUUAUCUCCCUAUAAAAACAGUGAGAUGCCCUUGAACAUUAUAUCUUCAAAUCCUCAGAUUUUCCUCAACAUCUUUACAGAGUAGGACAUUUGCCAUGGAACCACAAAUGAGCAAACUGGAAGAGGCAAUGGAAAAAGUUCUUGACAUAUUUAAACAGAAAUGCACACGGAGCCAAACAAUGAUGAAAAAAGACCUGAAGAGAACCCUGAGAGCAGAGCUGGAUAAUUGGCUGCAGAACUGCAAGGAUAAGACAAAACGUGACAACAUCUUGAGGGAGCUGGAUGAAAACCCACAUGACUGUGUGAACUUUGACGAGUUUGUUUACUAUGUGACUCGACUGAUGAUGUGCAGUCAUUACUACUUUCAAAAAUAGACUGUUACUCUCAGCUUGUUUCUAACAAAGGAAUUGGAAAUGGGGAAGAUCUCAGCUUGACCGUGUUCAGCAGGAAAUAUCAUCCUCUCAACCCAGUUAAUGUAAUUUUUUUUUGUCAUUAUACAGCAACUCUUUCACCUUUGUACUGAUUGAUAACAUAAAUGUGAAUUUAUUAAAACUCUCAGAGUUUAUAUAGUUGUGUAUUUAAA
Long non-coding RNA from Oreochromis aureus, 1121 nucleotides. RefSeq lists it as uncharacterized. The record is from RefSeq and is a predicted model, not a curated record. The transcript is spliced from 3 exons. NCBI's taxonomy places the organism in Eukaryota, Metazoa, Chordata, Actinopteri, Cichliformes, Cichlidae.